RNAcentral lists this long non-coding RNA (487 nucleotides) under Monodelphis domestica (gray short-tailed opossum). RNAcentral describes it as "lncRNA (ENSMODG00000034054.2)". The record is from RNAcentral. Lineage: Eukaryota; Metazoa; Chordata; Mammalia; Didelphimorphia; Didelphidae.
GAUGGGAAUCACUGUACUCCUUAGUCAUCUAUAUAACAGUAUUCUGAAAAACUUCUAGGCCCUUAUCUAGCCAUAGUUUCUUAAAUGAGGAAAGGAGGUCUGUAGCUAGGAAUAAAAGUAAGGAAAAGACUAGCCGGUGAAUGUGCAGGGGUAAAAAUCAUAAUGUGUAGGUAAGCCUACUUUAUUUUGUCGCUAUAAAUAUGUAGCACCUCUCCUUUGUUUGCCUUCUAGGGAAUGUCUAGCCAUGGUGCUGGCUGGUCAACAAUGGCCCUUCCCACUUAGAUUUCUAGAGGGAGUGGUUGAGAGAGGUACUCUUUAUUGAGGUUAGUGCUUUAAGAAGAUGGAAGAAGCUUUCUAUUGAAAGAGGUUGGUAUAGAUUGCUUGUCCACAUUUCUUCCCAAUUUACCUGUAUUCUGAAAUUCUAUUAGUAAGUAUUCACUAUUAGGCACCCCACAUUAUUAGACAAUUGUCAUGGUAAUUAUCAUAA